Molecule: ribosomal RNA, 443 nt
Filed under: uncultured bacterium
Lineage: Bacteria
Description: partial 16S ribosomal RNA
Rfam family: Bacterial small subunit ribosomal RNA
Source: RNAcentral
CCUACGGGUGGCAGCAGUGGGGAAUAUUGGGCAAUGGGCGCAAGCCUGACCCAGCCAAGCCGCGUGAAGGAAGAAGGCUUUCGGGUUGUAAACUUCUUUUGUCAGGGACGAAACAAGUGACGGUACCUGACGAAUAAGCCAAGGCUAACUACGUGCCAGCAGCCGCGGUAAUACGGAGGUGGCAAGCGUUAUCCGGAUUUACUGGGUGUAAGGGGCGUGUAGGCGGGACUGCAAGUCAGAUGUGAAAACCACGGGCCCAACCUGUGGCCUGCAUUUGAAACUGUAGUUCUUGAGUAUCGGAGAGGCAGGCGGAAUUCCUAGUGUAGCGGUGAAAUGCGUAGAUAUUAGGAGGAACACCAGUGGCGAAGGCGGCCUGCUGGACGACAACUGACGGUGAGGCGCGAAAGCGUGGGGAGCAAACAGGAUUAGAUACCCUUGUAGUC